Molecule: ribosomal RNA, 254 nt
Filed under: uncultured prokaryote
Description: partial 16S ribosomal RNA
Rfam family: Bacterial small subunit ribosomal RNA
Source: RNAcentral
UACGGGGGGAGCAAGCGUUGUUCGGAUUUACUGGGCGUAAAGGGCGCGUAGGCGGCCACCGCAAGUCAAUUGUGAAAUCUCCGGGCUUAACCCGGAACGGUCAAGUGAAACUGUCGUGCUAGAGUACAGAAGGGGCAACUGGAAUUCUCGGUGUAGCGGUGAAAUGCGUAGAUAUCGAGAGGAACACCUGCGGCGAAGGCGGGUUGCUGGGCUGAUACUGACGCUGAGGCGCGAAAGCCAGGGGAGCGAACGGG